RNAcentral lists this ribosomal RNA (368 nucleotides) under uncultured organism. RNAcentral's name for it is "bacterial LSU rRNA". It matches the Rfam family "Bacterial large subunit ribosomal RNA", at positions 2099 to 2465 of the family's 2925-position model. The record is from RNAcentral.
CUUGACUGUAGCUUGAAAUUGGGUUCGGGCUUUUCUUGCGCAGACUAGGUGGGAGGCGUUGAAGGGAGACUUUUGGGUUUCCUGGAGCCAACAGUGAGAGACCACUCUGGAAGAGCUAGAAUUCUAAUGGCGUUCCUUGAAGCAGGACGCUUGACAGUUUCAGGUGGGCAGUUUGACUGGGGCGGUCACCUCCUAAAAGGUAACGGAGGUGUGCAAAGGUUCCCUCAGGCUGGACGGAAAUCAGCCGUAGAGUGUAAAGGCAGAAGGGAGCUUGACUGCAAGACCUACAAGUCGAGCAGGGGCGAAAGCCGGCCUUAGUGAUCCGACGGUUCCAUGUGGAAGGGCCGUCGCUCAACGGAUAAAAGUUA